ACCAAAUGGGGACGGGGAUAGACAUA
This 26-nucleotide non-coding RNA is filed under the name Cricetulus griseus (Chinese hamster). The record is from RNAcentral. Lineage: Eukaryota; Metazoa; Chordata; Mammalia; Rodentia; Cricetidae.